UCUCAGACAGAAAGCUUAACCAUCAUAAGUCUUAUUUCUAAAAUAAUCUGUAAUUGUAUCUUAAAACAAUUAAACCAUUGAAUAAAUAAAUGAAUUGUUCUAAACUUGGUAAUAAAAAAGCAUGUAUCAUCCUGAACGUGCAUUUUCCCCCAGACUAGUAUUAUAUAUUUUCCUCCUCUGAGAUAUCUCCAUGAAGUGAGCAAGUACUAAACGUUAGAAGUAUGGUUGCUUAUGAUUCUUCAAUUAAAAUGAUAUAAUCAUACAUUAAAAGCAGAAAGGAUGGAUAUUUUACUAUAUUUUUGUCUGAUGAAACAACAUAAAAUACCUUUGAGGAUGGAGGAUGAUGUAAGUUAUGGUCAAGGUAAAAGGUAUGUGUAUUUUACAACUUUUUUCAUUAAGAAUGCUUAUUCCAUUUCAGGCCAAUAUUUUGGCUAUUUUAUGUUAAUUUUAAGUGGAAUAGGCAAGUACACCACUAACAGUGGCCGAAUGGUUAUGGUCCUUGACUUCAAACCAUUUGCCCCUCACCACUGUGGGCUCGAAUCCUGACAGGGACUUUGGAUUUUUUCAUGUGAGGAAGCUAUUCAGCUGGCUUGCGGAACUUCGGUGGUUCUACUCAGUUCAUGCUUGAAAUAAUGAAUGGCAGGGCACAUGAGGUUCUGCCAUGAUAAUUAUGCAUACCUGAAACACUCUAGUUGGAGGUGUUUCACCAAUCAGACAGUAAAGUUGACAUGUACUUCAUGAAAGUCAGGAUUUUGUCUUUUUGUUCUAUAAAUUCACAGAUGAUGGAAUUAGUGGUAAAUAUCAAAAUAAUCAAUGGACAACAUAAUCCAUAAAAUAUACAUUACAGAUAACCAUCAGACAGUUAAACAAGAAAGCUUUUAAAGAUUGCAGCAUCUGACAGACAGUUUUAACAAAUAUACAUAAAUGACAGAAAAUGUUCAUUUAUUUCACUUGUUCUUUUGCUCAACUUUGUACCUUGUUGUUUUCAGUUUUAAGAUAUGUUGAUUCUGAGAAUGUGCCUGUCAAGAAGGAGAAACAAGAUUUCACAAUGAUGUAGAAAGUCUGUCAUUUGACUAACAAUAAGAUAACACGAUUAAUGAUGGAUGAAGUUGGCAACUCUAAUUCCCAAGACAUACUGAUGGCUGGAAUAAAUUGAAUCAAAAGUUGCAAGAUGUUAAAAUGUUGCUGAUCAAGUAAGUUCAC
Long non-coding RNA from Ruditapes philippinarum (Manila clam), 1203 nucleotides. RefSeq lists it as uncharacterized. Lineage: Eukaryota; Metazoa; Mollusca; Bivalvia; Venerida; Veneridae. The transcript is spliced from 3 exons. The record is from RefSeq and is a predicted model, not a curated record.